GCGCCUAUAGCUCAGCUGGAUAGAGUGCCUGACUACGGAUCAGGAGGUCGGGGGUUCGAAUCCCUCUGGGCGUGCCA
Molecule: transfer RNA, 77 nt
Filed under: Clostridiales bacterium
Lineage: Bacteria; Bacillati; Bacillota; Clostridia; Eubacteriales
Description: tRNA-Arg
Rfam family: tRNA
About the family: Transfer RNA (tRNA) molecules are approximately 80 nucleotides in length. Their secondary structure includes four short double-helical elements and three loops (D, anti-codon, and T loops).
Source: RNAcentral